GUGGUUGUGGCUCAGUUGGAGAGCACUUGCCUCCCUUGUGUGAGGCACUGGGUUCAAUUCUCAGCACCACA
This 71-nucleotide transfer RNA is filed under the name Ictidomys tridecemlineatus (thirteen-lined ground squirrel). RNAcentral describes it as "Spermophilus tridecemlineatus (thirteen-lined ground squirrel) tRNA". It matches the Rfam family "tRNA". Rfam says of the family: Transfer RNA (tRNA) molecules are approximately 80 nucleotides in length. Their secondary structure includes four short double-helical elements and three loops (D, anti-codon, and T loops). Further hydrogen bonds mediate the characteristic L-shaped molecular structure. tRNAs have two regions of fundamental functional importance: the anti-codon, which is responsible for specific mRNA codon recognition, and the 3' end, to which the tRNAs corresponding amino acid is attached (by aminoacyl-tRNA synthetases). tRNAs cope with the degeneracy of the genetic code in two manners: having more than one tRNA (with a specific anti-codon) for a particular amino acid; and 'wobble' base-pairing, i.e. permitting non-standard base-pairing at the 3rd anti-codon position. Lineage: Eukaryota; Metazoa; Chordata; Mammalia; Rodentia; Sciuridae. The record is from Rfam by way of RNAcentral.